UCAGGACGAACGCUGGCGGCGUGCCUAACACAUGCAAGUCGAGCGGGGACAUUGCGACGGACAUGAAGAUUUCGGUUGGAUUGAAAGAUGUAAUGUUCUAGCGGCGGACGGGUGAGUAACGCGUGAGCAACCUGUCCCUUACAGGGGGAUAACACAGCGAAAGUUGUACUAAUACCGCAUAAGACCACAGAGCGACAUCGCUUAGGGGUCAAAGGAGUAAUCCGGUAAGGGGUGGGCUCGCGUCCGAUUAGAUAGUUGGUGAGGUAACGGCCCACCAAGUCGACGAUCGGUAGCCGACCUGAGAGGGUGAUCGGCCACAUUGGGACUGAGACACGGCCCAAACUCCUACGGGAGGCAGCAGUGGGGAAUAUUGGGCAAUGGGGGAAACCCUGACCCAGCAACGCCGCGUGAGGGAAGAAGGUUUUCGGAUCGUAAACCUCUGUCCUUGGUGAAGAGAAAGAGACGGUAGCCAAGGAGGAAGCCCCGGCUAACUACGUGCCAGCAGCCGCGGUAAUACGUAGGGGGCGAGCGUUGUCCGGAAUGAUUGGGCGUAAAGGGCGCGUAGGCGGCCCGGUAAGUCUGGAGUGAAAGUCCUGCUUUUAAGGUGGGAAUUGCUUUGGAUACUGUCGGGCUUGAGUGCAGGAGAGGUAAGUGGAAUUCCCAGUGUAGCGGUGAAAUGCGUAGAGAUUGGGAGGAACACCAGUGGCGAAGGCGACUUACUGGAC
This 725-nucleotide ribosomal RNA is filed under the name Clostridiales bacterium P31. RNAcentral's name for it is "bacterial SSU rRNA". It matches the Rfam family "Bacterial small subunit ribosomal RNA", at positions 24 to 734 of the family's 1533-position model. The record is from RNAcentral. Lineage: Bacteria; Bacillati; Bacillota; Clostridia; Eubacteriales.